This 78-nucleotide transfer RNA is filed under the name Bacillota bacterium. Its description in RNAcentral is "tRNA-Thr". The record is from RNAcentral. Lineage: Bacteria; Bacillati; Bacillota.
GCUUUAUAUACUAGUAUAUUUUUGUAAUUGAACGCACUCGUAAUACGUAGGUCGUGGGUUCGAUUCCCGCUUUCAGCA